GAAAAUGUUCAAUUUAGUCAAAUUGUUACUUCCACUGGUAGAACGGAAUACAAAACUCAAUUCGGGAGAGGGAAAGUGCUUACCUAUCAAAAGUCCACUAGAGGACUCUUUUAUUUAGACUUGGCUGCGUCAAAUGGAUCUAUGAAGCUGAAUUUAGGGCUGGACGAGCUGGAUGAUCUGUUUACACUGAGGGGGCACCUAGAGUCCCUAACGGCAUACUUUCCACAGCCGCUCUCCCAGCCACAUGAGCAGGUUGUGCCUAAAGAAAAUGUAGCGCCGGUUUAUGCACCGCCACCACCACCAACACCUUCCGCACCUCUAACAAUAAUAUAUGAAAACGAGACGUCAACUACCACUCCACUUCAAACUAUAACAGACCCGAUGUGGAGCAAAGGAAAUAUGAUUCCGGUGAGGGUGGCCGCAAAGAGACCGAUACGUGAAGAAUUACACCCACAGUGGUCUGGGAAGAAUACAAAAUAUGAACAGAUUUCCCCUGUGAAAAACAAUUUAUAUGAUCUCUCUGAGGAGGAAAUGGGAGCCUUUUUCCAAUCGAUGUGAUGAUGCUCAAUGUGGUGUGACUUUCAUUCAAUGUGGUGUUUAUAGGAAUAACAUUUAUAAAUUUCAUUACGGACAUAUAUGCAAACAGACUGACACGGCAUUCUACCUCCUGUUUGGUUUAACGGAUGAUGGUUGGCAACAUGGGUGAAUAAAGAAUCAACAUCAUCAAAGGAGACAUCACAGCGUCUACAUAAAAAUGCUACCCAAUGUCUUCCUGGUAAGCCUGCGACAUCUGUAUUGGCUAUCACACCCAUUCCUGGUAGUAGGUGAACUUGAGACAGUUCAUCAGAUGAGAAUACACCAAGAACAGAUCGUUGUAAGUCAACGUCUGAAACAAUGGCACACUUGAGCUGGAACAUAAUGCGGAACUUCGAAAAUGUUUGACCAGUUUCCCAUAGAGGCUGCACUUAACCUUCGAAGAAGUGGCUUUUGUUCUCCAUCGACAAUAGAUUCACCACAAAUAUUAGAA
Molecule: long non-coding RNA, 1027 nt
Organism: Mytilus californianus (California mussel)
Lineage: Eukaryota; Metazoa; Mollusca; Bivalvia; Mytilida; Mytilidae
Exons: 6
Source: RefSeq, a predicted model, not a curated record